CAAGUCGAGCGAACAGACGAGGAGCUUGCUCCUCUGACGUUAGCGGCGGACGGGUGAGUAACACGUGGAUAACCUACCUAUAAGACUGGGAUAACUUCGGGAAACCGGAGCUAAUACCGGAUAAUAUAUUGAACCGCAUGGUUCAAUAGUGAAAGACGGUUUUGCUGUCACUUAUAGAUGGAUCCGCGCCGCAUUAGCUAGUUGGUAAGGUAACGGCUUACCAAGGCAACGAUGCGUAGCCGACCUGAGAGGGUGAUCGGCCACACUGGAACUGAGACACAGUCCAGACUCCUACGGGAGGCAGCAGUAGGGAAUCUUCCGCAAUGGGCGAAAGCCUGACGGAGCAACGCCGCGUGAGUGAUGAAGGUCUUCGGAUCGUAAAACUCUGUUAUUAGGGAAGAACAAAUGUGUAAGUAACUAUGCACGUCUUGACGGUACCUAAUCAGAAAGCCACGGCUAACUACGUGCCAGCAGCCGCGGUAAUACGUAGGUGGCAAGCGUUAUCCGGAAUUAUUGGGCGUAAAGCGCGCGUAGGCGGUUUUUUAAGUCUGAUGUGAAGGCCCACGGCUCAACCGUGGAGGGUCAUUGGAAACUGGAAAACUUGAGUGCAGAAGAGGAAAGUGGAAUUCCAUGUGUAGCGGUGAAAUGCGCAGAGAUAUGGAGGAACACCAGUGGCGAAGGCGACUUUCUGGUCUGUAACUGACGCUGAUGUGCGAAAGCGUGGGGAUCAAACAGGAUUAGAUACCCUGGUAGUCCACGCCGUAAACGAUGAGUGCUAAGUGUUAGGGGGUUUCCGCCCCUUAGUGCUGCAGCUAACGCAUUAAGCACUCCGCCUGGGGAGUACGACCGCAAGGUUGAAACUCAAAGGAAUUGACGGGGACCCGCACAAGCGGUGGAGCAUGUGGUUUAAUUCGAAGCAACGCGAAGAACCCUUACCAAAUCUUGACAUCCUCUGACCCCUCUAGAGAUAGAG
This 973-nucleotide ribosomal RNA is filed under the name uncultured Staphylococcus sp. RNAcentral's name for it is "bacterial SSU rRNA". It matches the Rfam family "Bacterial small subunit ribosomal RNA", at positions 58 to 1011 of the family's 1533-position model. Lineage: Bacteria; Bacillati; Bacillota; Bacilli; Caryophanales; Staphylococcaceae. The record is from RNAcentral.